GAUGAACGCUGGCGGCGUGCCUAAUACAUGCAAGUCGAGCGAACGGACGAGAAGCUUGCUUCUCUGAUGUUAGCGGCGGACGGGUGAGUAACACGUGGAUAACCUACCUAUAAGACUGGGAUAACUUCGGGAAACCGGAGCUAAUCCCGGAUAAUAUUUUGAACCGCAUGGUUCAAAAGUGAAAGACGGUCUUGCUGUCACUUAUAGAUGGAUCCGGGCUGCAUUAGCUAGUUGGUAAGGUAACGGCUUACCAAGGCAACGAUGCAUAGCCGACCUGAGAGGGUGAUCGGCCACACUGGAACUUGGACACGCACCAGACUCCUACGGGAGGCAGCAGUAGGGAAUCUUCCGCAAUGGGCGAAAGCCUGACGGAGCAACGCCGCGUGAGUGAUGAAGGUCUUCGGAUCGUAAAACUCUGUUAUUAGGGAAGAACAUAUGUGUAAGUAACUGUGCACAUCUUGACGGUACCUAAUCAGAAAGCCACGGCUAACUACGUG
RNAcentral lists this ribosomal RNA (497 nucleotides) under uncultured bacterium. RNAcentral describes it as "partial 16S ribosomal RNA". It matches the Rfam family "Bacterial small subunit ribosomal RNA", at positions 28 to 507 of the family's 1533-position model. The record is from RNAcentral.